RNAcentral lists this non-coding RNA (28 nucleotides) under Bombyx mori (domestic silkworm). Lineage: Eukaryota; Metazoa; Arthropoda; Insecta; Lepidoptera; Bombycidae. The record is from RNAcentral.
ACAACCGAUACAGUCAUUCCAACUAACA